GGCGGUUCUCAGGUGACGCACCCCAGAAUUAGGCUCCCUCCUCUCUUGUUCCAGGUGCAUCACCCAAGAACCACC
Non-coding RNA from Myotis brandtii (Brandt's bat), 75 nucleotides. NCBI's taxonomy places the organism in Eukaryota, Metazoa, Chordata, Mammalia, Chiroptera, Vespertilionidae. The record is from Rfam.